RNAcentral lists this unclassified non-coding RNA (200 nucleotides) under Humicola sp. RNAcentral's name for it is "partial internal transcribed spacer 2". Lineage: Eukaryota; Fungi; Ascomycota; Sordariomycetes; Sordariales; Chaetomiaceae. The record is from RNAcentral.
UUAAGUUCAGCGGGUCUUCCUACCUGAUCCGAGGUCAACCUUGGGUAAAUAAGGCUUUUAACGGCCGGAACCCGCAGCACGCCCUGAGCGAGAUGUAUUACUACGCUCGGAGUGACUAGCGAGCCCGCCACUGGUUUUCAGGGCCUGCGGCAGCCGCAGGUCCCCAACACAAGCCGGGCUUGAUGGGCAGUAAUGACGCU